RNAcentral lists this ribosomal RNA (499 nucleotides) under uncultured bacterium. RNAcentral's name for it is "partial 16S ribosomal RNA". It matches the Rfam family "Bacterial small subunit ribosomal RNA", at positions 28 to 507 of the family's 1533-position model. The record is from RNAcentral.
GACGAACGCUGGCGGCGUGCCUAAUACAUGCAAGUCGAGCGGACUUUCAAGAAGCUUGCUUUUUGAAAGUUAGCGGCGGACGGGUGAGUAACACGUGGGCAACCUGCCUGCAAGACGGGGAUAACUCCGGGAAACCGGGGCUAAUACCGGAUAAUAUCUUCCUUCGCAUGAAGGAAGGUUGAAAGGCGGCGCAAGCUGCCGCUUGCAGAUGGGCCCGCGGCGCAUUAGCUAGUUGGUGAGGUAACGGCUCACCAAGGCGACGAUGCGUAGCCGACCUGUGAGGGUGAGCGGCCACACUGGGACUGAGACACGGCCCAGACUCCUACGGGAGGCAGCAGUAGGGAAUCUUCCGCAAUGGACGAAAGUCUGACGGAGCAACGCCGCGUGAGCGAAGAAGGUCUUCGGAUCGUAAAGCUCUGUUGUCAGGGAAGAACAAGUACCGUUCGAACAGGGCGGUACCUUGACGGUACCUGACCAGAAAGCCACGGCUAACUACGUG